This 524-nucleotide ribosomal RNA is filed under the name uncultured Gammaproteobacteria bacterium. RNAcentral's name for it is "bacterial SSU rRNA". It matches the Rfam family "Bacterial small subunit ribosomal RNA", at positions 15 to 526 of the family's 1533-position model. Lineage: Bacteria; Pseudomonadati; Pseudomonadota; Gammaproteobacteria. The record is from RNAcentral.
UAUCAUGGCUCAGAUUGAACGCUGGCGGCAUGCCUAACACAUGCAAGUCGAACGGUAACGCGGAGAGCUUGCUCUCUGGCGACGAGUGGCGGACGGGUGAGUAAUACUUAGGAAUCUGCCCAUUAGUGGGGGACGAACUCGGGGAAACUCGAGCUAAUACCGCAUACGCCCUACGGGGGAAAGCGGAGGACUCUUCGGAGCUUCGCGCUAAUGGAUGAGCCUAAGUCGGAUUAGCUUGUUGGUGGGGUAAAGGCCUACCAAGGCGACGAUCCGUAGCUGGUCUGAGAGGACGAUCAGCCACACUGGGACUGAGACACGGCCCAGACUCCUACGGGAGGCAGCAGUGGGGAAUAUUGGACAAUGGGGGGCAACCCUGAUCCAGCAAUGCCGCGUGUGUGAAGAAGGCCUGCGGGUUGUAAAGCACUUUCAGUAGAGAAGAAAAGCCUGGCGUUAAUACCGCCGGGUCUUGACGUAACCUACAGAAGAAGCACCGGCUAACUCCGUGCCAGCCGCCGCGGUAAUAC